Small nuclear RNA from Peromyscus maniculatus bairdii (prairie deer mouse), 104 nucleotides. NCBI's taxonomy places the organism in Eukaryota, Metazoa, Chordata, Mammalia, Rodentia, Cricetidae. The record is from Ensembl.
GUGCUCACUUCGGUAGCCCAUAUACUAAGAUUGGGAUAAUACAAAGAUUAGCGUGGCCUCUGUGCAAGCAUGGCACACAGAUCUGUUAAGUGUUCCAUGUUUGU